This 253-nucleotide ribosomal RNA is filed under the name uncultured bacterium. RNAcentral's name for it is "partial 16S ribosomal RNA". It matches the Rfam family "Bacterial small subunit ribosomal RNA", at positions 524 to 776 of the family's 1533-position model. The record is from RNAcentral.
UACGUAUGGUGCAAGCGUUAUCCGGAUUUACUGGGUGUAAAGGGAGCGCAGGCGGCGCGGCAAGUCCGAUGUGAAAACCCCCGGCUCAACCGGGGGACUGCAUUGGAAACUACCGGGCUGGAGUGCCGGAGAGGCAGGCGGAAUUCCUGGUGUAGCGGUGAAAUGCGUAGAUAUCAGGAGGAACACCAGUGGCGAAGGCGGCCUACUGGACGGUGACUGACGUUGAGGCUCGAAAGCGUGGGGAGCAAACAGG